AUGCCAUAAUGGGGACAUGCUAGGAUGUACUCCUGCAGCCUUUCCCAAGCUUCUGGGAUGGAUUCCAUCAUCUUCUGCUGGAAACUUGAAAUCUUCCCGCGGAGGGC
Panicum virgatum (switchgrass) is the source of this 107-nucleotide small nucleolar RNA. The record is from RefSeq and is a predicted model, not a curated record. NCBI's taxonomy places the organism in Eukaryota, Viridiplantae, Streptophyta, Magnoliopsida, Poales, Poaceae.